GGCGAACGGGUGAGGAACACAUAAGAAUCUGCCCCUCGGUCGGGGACAACUCUUGGAAACGAGAGCUAAUACCCGAUACGCUGUGGAGUGAAAGAAUUUCGCCGAGGGAUGAUCUUGCGUCUGAUUAGCUAGUUGGUAUGGUAAUGGCAUACCAAGGCGACGAUCAGUAGCUGGUCUGAGAGGAUGAACAGCCACAUUGGAACUGAGACACGGUCCAAACUCCUACGGGAGGCAGCAGUGGGGAAUUUUCCGCAAUGGACGAAAGUCUGACGGAGCGACGCUGCGUGAAGGAUGACGGCCUGCGGGUUGUAAACUUCUUUUCUCGAAGAAGAAGCUCCGACGGUAUUCGAGGAAUAAGCAUCGGCUAACUCCGUGCCAGCAGCCGCGGUAAUACGGAGGAUGCAAGUGUUAUUCGGAAUGAUUGGGCGUAAAGCGUCUGUAGGCUGUAUAGAAAGUCUUUUGUUAAAUGCCUCGGCUCAACCGAGAUCCAGCAAAGGAAACUUCUAUACUUGAGGGAAGUAGAGGUACAGGGAAUUCCCGGUGGAGCGGUGAAAUGCGUAGAUAUCGGGAGGAACACCAAUAUGGCGAAGGCACUGUACUGGGCUUUACCUGACGCUCAGAGACGAAAGCUAAAGGAGUGAUUAGGAUUAGAUACCCUAGUAAUUUUAGCCGUAAACGAUGGAAACUCACUGCCGAGCGAAAUACAACGAGCGGUGGUCAAGCUAACGCGUGAAGUUUCC
RNAcentral lists this ribosomal RNA (740 nucleotides) under uncultured phototrophic eukaryote. RNAcentral's name for it is "bacterial SSU rRNA". It matches the Rfam family "Bacterial small subunit ribosomal RNA", at positions 97 to 869 of the family's 1533-position model. The record is from RNAcentral.